AGCUAAUACAUGCUAAAAACCCCAACUUCGGGAGGGGUGUGUUUAUUAGAUAAAAAACCAACGCCCUUCGGGGCUCCUUGGUGAUUCAUGAUAACCUCUCAGAUCGCACGGCCUUGCGCCGGCGACGGUUCAUUCAAAUUUCUGCCCUAUCAACUUUCGAUGGUAAGGUAUUGGCUUACCAUGGUUUCAACGGGUAACGGGGAAUUAGGGUUCGAUUCCGGAGAGUGAGCCUGAGAAACGGCUCACACAUCCAAGGAAGGCAGCAGGCGCGCAAAUUACCCAAUCCCGAUACGGGGAGGUAGUGACAAUAAAUACUGAUACAGGGCUCUUUUGGGUCUUGUAAUUGGAAUGAGUACAAUUUAAACCUCUUAACGAGGAACAAUUGGAGGGCAAGUCUGGUGCCAGCAGCCGCGGUAAUUCCAGCUCCAAUAGCGUAUAUUAAAGUUGUUGCAGUUAAAAAGCUCGUAGUUGAAUCUUUGGCCUGGCUGGCGGGUCCGCCUCACCGCGUGCACUUGUCCGGCCGGGCCUUCUCUUCUGGAGAACCGCAUGCCCUUCACUGGGCGUGUUGGGGACCAGGACUUUUACUUUGAAAAAAUUAGAGUGUUCAAAGCAGGCCUUUGCUCGAAUACGUUAGCAUGGAAUAAUAGAAUAGGACGUGCGGUCCUAUUUUGUUGGUUUCUAGGACCGCCGUAAUGAUUAAUAGGGACAGUCGGGGGCAUCAGUAUUCAAUUGUCAGAGGUGAAAUUCUUGGAUUUAUUGAAGACUAACUACUGCGAAAGCAUUUGCCAAGGAUGUUUUCAUUAAUCAGUGAACGAAAGUUAGGGGAUCGAAGACGAUCAGAUACCGUCGUAGUCUUAACCAUAAACUAUGCCGACUAGGGAUCGGGCGGUGUUAUCGAUUUGACCCGCUCGG
Molecule: ribosomal RNA, 912 nt
Filed under: Jalapriya pulchra
Lineage: Eukaryota; Fungi; Ascomycota; Dothideomycetes; Pleosporales; Dictyosporiaceae
Description: SSU rRNA
Rfam family: Eukaryotic small subunit ribosomal RNA
Source: RNAcentral